GACGAACGCUGGCGGCGUGCUUAACACAUGCAAGUCGAACGGAAAGGCCCUGCUUUUGUGGGGUGCUCGAGUGGCGAACGGGUGAGUAACACGUGAGUAACCUGCCCUUGACUUUGAGAUAACUUCAGGAAACUGGGGCUAAUACCGGAUAGGAGCUCCUGCUGCAUGGUGGGGGUUGGAAAGUUUCGGCGGUUGGGGAUGGACUCGCGGCUUAUCAGCUUGUUGGUGGGGUAGUGGCUUACCAAGGCUUUGACGGGUAGCCGGCCUGAGAGGGUGGCCGGCCACAUUGGGACUGAGAUACGGCCCAGACUCCUACGGGAGGCAGCAGUGGGGAAUAUUGCACAAUGGGCGGAAGCCUGAUGCAGCAACGCCGCGUGCGGGAUGACGGCCUUCGGGUUGUAAACCGCUUUCGCCUGUGACGAAGCGUGAGUGACGGUAAUGGGUAAAGAAGCACCGGCUAACUACGUG
RNAcentral lists this ribosomal RNA (468 nucleotides) under uncultured bacterium. Its description in RNAcentral is "partial 16S ribosomal RNA". It matches the Rfam family "Bacterial small subunit ribosomal RNA", at positions 28 to 507 of the family's 1533-position model. The record is from RNAcentral.